ACGUGAAACCGUUUAGGGGUAAACCUGAGAAGCCCGAAAGGUCGAAGGGAGAAAUUCAUUCGCGUUUCGCAGUCGGCGUGAGACGGUCGUGUGACGGAAGACGUUCGCGUUUUCCGCGCCUUCCGUUUUUCGAUCCGAUAGCGAACGCGUGCACUUUUCUCCUGGUAGGACGUCGCGAUCCGUUGGGUGUCGGUCUACGGCUCGCGGUGGAGCCCGGACGUACGGCUUGCCGUCACGUUCGGACCCGCGUGUCCCGGCUGACUCGCUCGACGGUAUACGAAAGGUUUAAGGCCGCUAUUUUUAGCGUUCGGCUCGUUGCAAGCGCGUCAGAUGUGUCGGCGAUCGGACCUAGUGCCGGUUCUGACCUCUGGCGACUGUUGGCCGCGAAGUUCUCGAACAGACCUUUAGACCGAUCUGCGACGCUAUAGCUUUGGGUACUUUCAGGACCCGUCUUGAAACACGGACCAAGGAGUCUAGCAUGUGCGCGAGUCAUUGGGAAUCACUAAACCUAAAGGCGCAAUGAAAGUAAAGGUCCGCCUUGCGCGGACUGAGGGAAGACGGGCGGUUCACCCUUAAAAGUGGCCGCUCCGCAUUCCCGGGGCGUCUCAUUCUCAUCGCGAGAAGAGGCGCACCAAGAGCGUACACGCUGGGACCCGAAAGAUGGUGAACUAUGCCUGGUCAGGACGAAGUCAGGGGAAACCCUGAUGGAGGUCCGUAGCGAUUCUGACGUGCAAAUCGAUCGUCGGAACUGGGUAUAGGGGCGAAAGACUAAUCGAACCAUCUAG
Molecule: ribosomal RNA, 785 nt
Filed under: Irenimus sp. AM-2018
Lineage: Eukaryota; Metazoa; Arthropoda; Insecta; Coleoptera; Curculionidae
Description: eukaryotic LSU rRNA
Rfam family: Eukaryotic large subunit ribosomal RNA
Source: RNAcentral